UGACGAGUUUGAUCCUGGCUCAGGAUGAACGCUAGCGGCAGGCUUAACACAUGCAAGUCGAGGGGUAUAGUUCUUCGGAAUUAGAGACCGGCGCACGGGUGCGUAACGCGUAUGCAAUCUACCUUUUACAGAGGGAUAGCCCAGAGAAAUUUGGAUUAAUACCUCAUAGUAUAAUGACUUGGCAUCAAGACAUUAUUAAAGUCACAACGGUAAAACGAUGAGCAUGCGUCCAUUAGCUAGUGUAAGUAACGC
RNAcentral lists this ribosomal RNA (252 nucleotides) under uncultured Flavobacterium sp. Its description in RNAcentral is "partial 16S ribosomal RNA". It matches the Rfam family "Bacterial small subunit ribosomal RNA", at positions 1 to 263 of the family's 1533-position model. The record is from RNAcentral. Lineage: Bacteria; Pseudomonadati; Bacteroidota; Flavobacteriia; Flavobacteriales; Flavobacteriaceae.